RNAcentral lists this ribosomal RNA (459 nucleotides) under uncultured bacterium. Its description in RNAcentral is "bacterial SSU rRNA". It matches the Rfam family "Bacterial small subunit ribosomal RNA", at positions 355 to 804 of the family's 1533-position model. The record is from RNAcentral.
UGGGGAAUUGUUCACAAUGGGCGCAAGCCUGAUGACGCAACGCCGCGUGGGGGAUGAAGGUCUUCGGAUCGUAAACCCCUGUCGAAUGGGACGAAAGACUCGCGAGUGAAUACUUCGCGAGAGUGACGGUACCGUUAAAGGAAGCCACGGCUAACUCUGUGCCAGCAGCCGCGGUAAUACAGAGGUGGCAAGCGUUGUUCGGAAUUACUGGGCGUAAAGGGCGCGUAGGCGGCCCUCUAAGUCAGACGUGAAAUCCCCGGCUUAACCUGGGAACUGCGUCUGAUACUGGAGGGCUUGAGUAUGGGAGAGGGAUGUAGAAUUCCAGGUGUAGCGGUGAAAUGCGUAGAUAUCUGGAGGAAUACCGGUGGCGAAGGCGGCAUCCUGGACCAUUACUGACGCUGAGGCGCGAAAGCUAGGGGAGCAAACGGGAUUAGAUACCCGAGUAGUCCCUGAGCGGGC